RNAcentral lists this ribosomal RNA (422 nucleotides) under uncultured prokaryote. Its description in RNAcentral is "bacterial SSU rRNA". It matches the Rfam family "Bacterial small subunit ribosomal RNA", at positions 355 to 774 of the family's 1533-position model. The record is from RNAcentral.
UGAGGAAUAUUGGUCAAUGGGCGGCAGCCUGAACCAGCCAUCCCGCGUGAAGGAAGAAUGCGCUAUGUGUUGUAAACUUCUUUUUCAGGGGGAAAAAAUUCUGUAUGUAUACAGGACUGAAGGUACCCUGAGAAUAAGCAUCGGCUAACUCCGUGCAAGCAGCAGCGGUAAUACGGAGGAUGCGAGCGUUAUCCGGAUUUAUUGGGUUUAAAGGGUGCGUAGGCGGAAUAAUAAGUCAGUGGUGAAACCCUGCAGCUUAACUGUAGACUUGCCAUUGAUACUGUUUUUCUUGAGUAUGGUCAAGGCAGGCGGAAUGUGUAAUGUAGCGGUGAAAUGCUUAGAUAUUACACAGAACACCGAUAGCGAAGGCAGCUUGCUGUGCCGUUACUGCCGCUGAUGCACGAAAGCGUGGGGAUCGAACA